AUGCCGCUUCAUCACACUAAUUGCCUAGGAUUGCAACUACAACAUCCACUGACUGCAUUACUGGAACUACAUGACAUGGCUCGCUGCCCAAAUUGCCCACUUGCCCCCUUGAGAUUGGACCCCUACAGAAGAUCUGUUCAAAUCUUUGUGCUCGAUCAUGUUCCAAAUGGAGUAGAUGCGAAAUCUCACCUGGUUUAUGUUGCCGCUUUGGCAUGCAACUAUGUUGGGUGUGUUCCCAUAGGCACAUCCUGCAUUUUGUCUAGUGCAACAAGGAGUGCCUACUGUGGCUUUGCUACAUUGCUUUAA
This 306-nucleotide ribosomal RNA is filed under the name Triticum aestivum (bread wheat). Its description in RNAcentral is "partial small subunit ribosomal RNA". Lineage: Eukaryota; Viridiplantae; Streptophyta; Magnoliopsida; Poales; Poaceae. The record is from RNAcentral.